GAUGAACGCUAGCGGCAGGCCUAACACAUGCAAGUCGAGGGGCAGCACAGAAACAGCAAUGUUUUGGUGGCGACCGGCGGACGGGUGCGUAACGCGUAUGCAACCUACCUUUAACAGGGGGAUAACGGAGAGAAAUUUCCACUAAUACCCCAUAACAUCGAUCAAGGCAUCUUGAUUGGUUGAAAACUCCGGUGGUUAAAGAUGGGCAUGCGUUGUAUUAGGUAGUUGGUGAGGUAAUGGCUCACCAAGCCUACGAUACAUAGGGGGACUGAGAGGUUAGCCCCCCACACUAGUACUGAGACACGGACCAGACUCCUACGGGAGGCAGCAGUGAGGAAUAUUGGUCAAUGGGGGCAACCCCGAACCAGCCAUGCCGCGUGCAGGAAGACGGCUCUAUGAGUUGUAAACUGCUUUUAAACAGGGAUAAAGCACAGUAUGUAUACUGUGUUGAAGGUACUGUAAGAAUAAGGAUCGGCUAACUCCGUGCCAGCAGCCGCCGUAA
Molecule: ribosomal RNA, 502 nt
Filed under: uncultured bacterium
Lineage: Bacteria
Description: partial 16S ribosomal RNA
Rfam family: Bacterial small subunit ribosomal RNA
Source: RNAcentral